CCUACGGGAGGCAGCAGUGGGGAAUUUUGGACAAUGGGGGCAACCCUGAUCCAGCCAUUCCGCGUGAGUGAAGAAGGCCUUCGGGUUGUAAAGCUCUUUCAGCUGGAACGAAACGGUACGCUCUAACAUAGCGUGCUAAUGACGGUACCAGCAGAAGAAGCACCGGCUAACUACGUGCCAGCAGCCGCGGUAAUACGAACCGUACGAACGUUAUUCGGAUUCACUGGGCUUAAGGCGUGCGUAGGCGGCUGGGAAAGUUGGGUGUGAAAUCCCUCGGCUCAACCGAGGAAUUGCGCUCAAAACUACCUGGCUUGAGGAAGAUAGAGGUGAGCGGAACUAAUGGUGGAGCGGUGAAAUGCGUAGAUAUCGGGAGGAACACCUGUGGCGAAAGCGGCCUCCUGGGCCGUUCCUGACGCUCAGACGCGAAAGCAUGGGUAGCGAACGGGAUUAGAAACCCCGGUAGUCCAUGCUGUAAACGAUGCGAACUUGGCGUUGGCGGUGUAAAAACCGUCAGUGCCGAAGCCAACGCGAUAAGUUCGCCGCCUGGGGACUACGGUCGCAAGGUUAAAACUCAAAGGAAUUGACGG
Molecule: ribosomal RNA, 587 nt
Filed under: uncultured bacterium
Lineage: Bacteria
Description: bacterial SSU rRNA
Rfam family: Bacterial small subunit ribosomal RNA
Source: RNAcentral